ACAAAUAGUAACAAGGGGAGAAAUUACUAAAGACCAGUCAAUAGAGGAAUUGAAUGAAGAAUCUGAAAAUUCAGAAGAUUCAGAAGAAGAAGACUUGCUAGAAGAAAACUUAGAAGAAGAUCUUCAAGAUCCAAUUCAGGACACACAAGGAUCACAAGCCAUUACAAUUCAAGGGAGAUCAACAAGAGAGAAGAAGAUUCCAAACAAGCUCAAGGACUGUAUCCUUUAUUAAUUAGUGGUUAAUUAGAAGUAAUUAGAAUAAUAAAUAACUGUAAACAAACAAAUGAGUUUAUAAUCAUUUGUUUUGUUAGUGUUUUUUUUUCUUCCAGUACUUUAAUAAGGGAAUUAACAAGUGAAAAUUAUAAUCACUUGUUUAGUUUUUAAUUUCAGUACAUUCUGUAAAUCCCUAUAUAUAGGGCACCAUUUGUAUUUUUUAAAGAUAUCAAUAUACGAGUAUACCUGUUCACCCAACUGAAUUGCAAUUCUGUUACAGAGAGUUAGGAUUGAAGAGAACCGAGUCCCAUUCAUUCAAUCCAAUCCAGUCAAGUGGCUGAAUGAUAUUGGAUUGUUAAGCUUGGAGUUGCCUCGAAGAUUCUCUUGUCCAAGGGCGUUCCAGAGUUGAAGAUUGGUUGUUGGCCAGAGCAUCCUUUUGUAUUGCCUGCAUUCCGUUUCUUGAAGAGCCACCUCUUCUCCAUUUGCCUUCGUCUCUCAAUCUUAGAUCGAUUUCCGGCCUGUAGAUCGGAGACACGAAACGGAGCUCAGGUCAUUCUAAUUCUUUUUAAGCUUCCAGUCCUUGAAUCUAAGAUCCUUCCCGAUCUUGAGAUCGGGACAUUUGAUCUUUUAAAGGUCAGUUUUUGCCCUUUUUGAUUUACCCAAUUAAUAAAAGUCUUAUUCUACUUAUUCUAUUGUGAAUUAGAAUUGGGUUAAGAAUAUUGCUGCUAGACUUAAGCAUUCCUUUUAAUCACAAGAUAGGGAUUUUAAGAAUCAGUCAUGAUCUUUCGUACUUUUAUCAUAGAUGUUUUUAAAAGACGACAACAAUUUUUUUUGUAACACUCCG
Molecule: long non-coding RNA, 1057 nt
Filed under: Zostera marina
Lineage: Eukaryota; Viridiplantae; Streptophyta; Magnoliopsida; Alismatales; Zosteraceae
Description: long non-coding RNA (ZMAR_LNC000388)
Source: RNAcentral